Molecule: long non-coding RNA, 1528 nt
Filed under: Oryctolagus cuniculus (rabbit)
Lineage: Eukaryota; Metazoa; Chordata; Mammalia; Lagomorpha; Leporidae
Description: lncRNA (ENSOCUG00000030644.1)
Source: RNAcentral
CAACUUUUUUUUUUUUUUUUUAAUUUUCUCCAGUCCCUGGGAGCAAAUUGCCGUCUUCUUUUUAUUUUUUUCCCUCUUGUGCUCAGUCUCCCUGUUUUUGAGGUCUCUUUUCUCUACACCAUGGUUCUCACCUUGUUGUGGGGAAAAUACCUGAAGCAGAAUACAAUGGGAAAAGAAUCUCUACCCCUUUCUGUUCCAAAUUCAUUUUAUCCCUCUCGUCUCGACAAAAACUGUAUGGAAUCAACACCACCGUGCUCUGCGGGAAAAAGAAACCCUCCUGCUCCCGGCUCUGCUGGAAGCUGGAGGGUGCCAGGCCCCUGUGUAGUAGUGCAUAGAAUUCUAGCUUUUCUCCUCCUUUCUCUGUAUAUUGGGCUCAGAGAUUACACUGUGUCUCUAUGUGAAUACGGACAGUUAGCAUUUACCAACAUGUAUCUGUCAACUUUCUCUUGUUUAAAAAAAGAAAAAAAAACCUUAAAAAAAUGGGGUUAUAGAAGGUCAAGAUCACUAAGCAACAUCUCAGAGCACUGACCUUGGGACUUGACUGCUGCCCCCAGUGGUGUAACACUGGACACACCACAGAACACUCCUAGACCCGUGCCCUUCACCUGGAAUGGUUGGCUCCCAGCAGUGUGUGUUCACAAGCACCAACAGUGGCCUCAGGCUUAUUCCUGGGCUUGAGGGCAAAAGGAAGGGGCCCUACACAGUGGCAGUGUGACAACUUGAUGUUGAAAACAUGCACCUGUGAAAAUCGAAACAGGCCAAAAAUGCUAGUGUUUGCUGGCUGCCUCCCUUUAUCCCGGCCCCCAGAACAGUGGCUGCACACAGUAGGGCUUCAGCGAGUGCCUGGAAUUGGCUCAAGGGCUCACCCAACACAAUGAGGUCAUCGUUUUUCUCUGCACCAGUUUGUGGGGGGAACCAGGGUCAGAGUCUUGACAACCACAGCACCAGGUGCAUGGAGGUGCCAGCUUCCCAGACAGCUCUAUGCAGACUGCAAAGUUGGCCCACUUCUCACUAAGGAAGCCCUGGGAACUAUGAACCUUGCAAUCCCAGCAGCAAUGGGACCACAACUGUGAGCAUUAUCCAGAACUUGAGCCCCUGGCACCAUGCAUGGCUCCUUCUAAAACUGGCUACUGGGCACCAACUGCAUGUGCCGACCUUUGCUUCUGACCCUGGCCACCACAACAGACUCACCGGUAACAGUGAUGCAGGAGUCGAUGGCAGCAUUGUGGCAGGCACAGAUGAUGACCACAAAGUUGGUCUUGGCGAGCUUGCCCUCCACCAGCAGCCUGAACAUCUUGGAGAGGCCUUUGGCCAGGGCAUAGGCACACUCAAUGACAUGCACACUGUCGUUGCAGGAGCUGUGCUGUGGUCACAGGUGCUGCCGUGCUUGGUGUGGGCGAGAAGAGCUGCAGCUACGGCUGCGCCUGCUGGUACUGCUGGAUCUUGGUCAGGUGUGACUCACACCGGGAGCACAGGAAGAUCUGCUCCAGGUCCUCCAUGAGUGGCACCUGGUGGGCAGCUACAGCAC